RNAcentral lists this ribosomal RNA (106 nucleotides) under bacterium M00.F.Ca.ET.230.01.1.1. The record is from RNAcentral.
UAAUAGCUUGGAGGUCCCACCUGAUCCCUUCCCGAACUCAGAAGUGAAACUCCAAUGCGCCAAUGGUAGUGUGGUUCGCCCAUGUGAGAGUAGGUCAUCGUCAGCU